Molecule: non-coding RNA, 30 nt
Filed under: Homo sapiens (human)
Lineage: Eukaryota; Metazoa; Chordata; Mammalia; Primates; Hominidae
Source: RNAcentral
UGUGGGAACGGCUGAUUGAACGUGAACUGC